GGAGAAAUACUCAAGUGGCUGAAGAGGCGCCCCUGCUAAGGGUGUAGGUCGCGAAAGCGGCGCGAGGGUUCAAAUCCCUCUUUCUCCA
This 88-nucleotide transfer RNA is filed under the name Brochothrix campestris. Its description in RNAcentral is "tRNA-Ser". It matches the Rfam family "tRNA". From Rfam's summary of the family: Transfer RNA (tRNA) molecules are approximately 80 nucleotides in length. Their secondary structure includes four short double-helical elements and three loops (D, anti-codon, and T loops). Further hydrogen bonds mediate the characteristic L-shaped molecular structure. tRNAs have two regions of fundamental functional importance: the anti-codon, which is responsible for specific mRNA codon recognition, and the 3' end, to which the tRNAs corresponding amino acid is attached (by aminoacyl-tRNA synthetases). tRNAs cope with the degeneracy of the genetic code in two manners: having more than one tRNA (with a specific anti-codon) for a particular amino acid; and 'wobble' base-pairing, i.e. permitting non-standard base-pairing at the 3rd anti-codon position. RNAcentral also lists the same sequence under 1 other name. Lineage: Bacteria; Bacillati; Bacillota; Bacilli; Caryophanales; Listeriaceae. The record is from RNAcentral.